GACGAACGCUGGCGGCGUGCUUAACACAUGCAAGUCGAACGGAAAGGCCCUGCUUUUGUUUGUUUCUCGUUUGCCGAACGGGUGAGUGACACGUGAGUAUCCUGCCCUUGACUUUCUGAUAACUUCAGGAAACUGGGGCUCAUACCCGAUAUGAUCUCCUGCUCCGUGUGGUUGGUUGGAAAGUUUCGGCGUUUGUGGCUGGUAUCGCUGCUUAUGCGCUUGUUGGUGGGGUAGUUGCUUACGACGGCUUUGACGGGUAGCCGGCCUGAGAGGGUGAACGGCGACAUUGGGACUGAGAGAGGGACCAGUAUGGUACGGGAGGCAGGAGUGGAGAACAUUGCGGAAUGGGCGGACGCGUGAUGCAGAGAAGCCGCGUGCGGGAUGCCGGCUUACGGGUUGUAAACCGAUUUCGAAUGUGACGAAGAGUGAGUGACGGUAAUGGGUCAAGAAGCAACGGCUAACUACGUG
RNAcentral lists this ribosomal RNA (468 nucleotides) under uncultured bacterium. Its description in RNAcentral is "partial 16S ribosomal RNA". It matches the Rfam family "Bacterial small subunit ribosomal RNA", at positions 28 to 507 of the family's 1533-position model. The record is from RNAcentral.